RNAcentral lists this ribosomal RNA (460 nucleotides) under uncultured bacterium. RNAcentral's name for it is "partial 16S ribosomal RNA". It matches the Rfam family "Bacterial small subunit ribosomal RNA", at positions 338 to 795 of the family's 1533-position model. The record is from RNAcentral.
CCUACGGGUGGCAGCAGUGAGGAAUAUUGGUCAAUGGACGAGAGUCUGAACCAGCCAAGUAGCGUGAAGGAUGACUACCCUAUGGGUUGUAAACUUCUUUUAUAUGGGAAUAAAAUGUUCCACGUGUGUGCUUUUGUAUGUACCAUAUGAAUAAGGAUCGGCUAACUCCGUGCCAGCAGCCGCGGUAAUACGGAGGAUCCGAGCGUUAUCCGGAUUUAUUGGGUUUAAAGGGAGCGUAGGUGGAUUGUUAAGUCAGUUGUGAAAGUUUGCGGCUCAAACGUAAAAUUGCAGUUGAAACUGGCAGUCUUGAGUACAGUAGAGGUGGGCGGAAUUCGUGGUGUAGCGGUGAAAUGCUUAGAUAUCACGAAGAACUCCGAUUGCGAAGGCAGCUCACUGGACUGCAACUGACACUGAGGCUCGAAAGUGUGGGUAUCAAACAGGAUUAGAUACCCUAGUAGUC